Molecule: long non-coding RNA, 220 nt
Filed under: Setaria italica (foxtail millet)
Lineage: Eukaryota; Viridiplantae; Streptophyta; Magnoliopsida; Poales; Poaceae
Description: long non-coding RNA (SITA_LNC001894)
Source: RNAcentral
GGGGCUGCAUACGCUUAGAACUCAGCAUCAUCUUUAGAAAACUUCACAAACCUUCUUCUUCUGAGCAGCAGUAAGUAAGGGUGAGUACACUUAUGGUUGAUACUCAGCAAGGCCACAAGAAAUAACUAGAUUAACGAUUUAAGUCCAUCUUCAAGUUUAUUAAUCAUGUGAGGGUACAGGCCGCUCUUAACCGUGAGCACGACUGAUCGAUCAGUUUUAC